UGGGCUUGACAUGUAGGGAAAAGCCGUAGAAAUACGGUGUCCGUAAGGGUCCUACAC
Molecule: ribosomal RNA, 57 nt
Filed under: uncultured organism
Description: partial 16S ribosomal RNA
Source: RNAcentral